UACGUAGGGUCCGAGCGUUGUCCGGAAUUAUUGGGCGUAAAGGGCUCGUAGGCGGUUUGUCGCGUCUGCUGUGAAAACCCGAGGCUCAACCUCGGGCCUGCAGUGGGUACGGGCGAGACUAGAGUGCGGUAGGGGAGAUUGGAAUUCCUGGUGUAGCGGUGGAAUGCGCAGAUAUCAGGAGGAACACCGAUGGCGAAGGCAGAUCUCUGGGCCGUAACUGACGCUGAGGAGCGAAAGCAUGGGGAGCGAACAGG
This 254-nucleotide ribosomal RNA is filed under the name uncultured bacterium. RNAcentral describes it as "partial 16S ribosomal RNA". It matches the Rfam family "Bacterial small subunit ribosomal RNA", at positions 524 to 776 of the family's 1533-position model. The record is from RNAcentral.